This 77-nucleotide non-coding RNA is filed under the name Syntrophus aciditrophicus SB. Its description in RNAcentral is "Alpha-proteobacteria SAM riboswitch aptamer". It matches the Rfam family "Alpha-proteobacteria SAM riboswitch aptamer". From Rfam's summary of the family: This family is a riboswitch found predominantly in alpha-proteobacteria that binds S-adenosyl methionine (SAM). This SAM riboswitch is located upstream of the metA and metC genes in Agrobacterium tumefaciens, and other methionine and SAM biosynthesis genes in other alpha-proteobacteria. RNAcentral also lists the same sequence under 1 other name. Lineage: Bacteria; Pseudomonadati; Thermodesulfobacteriota; Syntrophia; Syntrophales; Syntrophaceae. The record is from Rfam by way of RNAcentral.
ACCAAUCACAGCGGUGAUUUGGAUCGGUUACUUGCAACCGCUAUAAAAAUGAUGCUAAAGGCCGGGAUCAGAAUGUC